RNAcentral lists this ribosomal RNA (497 nucleotides) under uncultured bacterium. RNAcentral describes it as "partial 16S ribosomal RNA". It matches the Rfam family "Bacterial small subunit ribosomal RNA", at positions 28 to 507 of the family's 1533-position model. The record is from RNAcentral.
GAUGAACGCUGGCGGCGUGCCUAAUACAUGCAAGUCGAGCGAACGGACGAGAAGCUUGCUUCUCUGAUGUUAGCGGCGGACGGGUGAGUAACACGUGGAUAACCUACCUAUAAGACUGGGAUAACUUCGGGAAACCGGAGCUAAUACCGGAUAAUAUUUUGAACCGCAUGGUUCAAAAGUGAAAGACGGUCUUGCUGUCACUUAUAGAUGGAUCCGCGCUGCAUUAGCUAGUUGGUAAGGUAACGGCUUACCAAGGCAACGAUGCGUAGCCGACCUGAGAGGGUGAUCGGCCACACUGGAACUGAGACACGGUCCAGACUCCUACGGGAGGCAGCAGUAGGGAAUCUUCCGCAAUGGGCGAAAGCCUGACGGAGCAACGCCGCGUGAGUGAUGAAGGUCUUCGGAUCGUAAAACUCUGUUAUUAGGGAAGAACAUAUGUGUAAGUAACUGUGCACAUCUUGACGGUACCUAAUCAGAAAGCCACGGCUAACUACGUG